RNAcentral lists this ribosomal RNA (253 nucleotides) under uncultured bacterium. RNAcentral's name for it is "partial 16S ribosomal RNA". It matches the Rfam family "Bacterial small subunit ribosomal RNA", at positions 524 to 776 of the family's 1533-position model. The record is from RNAcentral.
UACGAAGGGGGCUAGCGUUGCUCGGAAUUACUGGGCGUAAAGCGCACGUAGGCGGAUCUUUAAGUCAGGGGUGAAAUCCUGGAGCUCAACUCCAGAACUGCCUUUGAUACUGAGGGUCUUGAGUUCGGGAGAGGUGAGUGGAACUGCGAGUGUAGAGGUGAAAUUCGUAGAUAUUCGCAAGAACACCAGUGGCGAAGGCGGCUCACUGGCCCGAUACUGACGCUGAGGUGCGAAAGCGUGGGGAGCAAACAGG